GCUGAGCUGUGAUGGGGAAGCUCCUUAUGGAGCGAAGUCUUUGAUUCCCCGCUGCCAAGAAAAGCUUCUAGCGAGAUAAAAGGUGCCUGUACCGCAAACCGACACAGGUAGGCGAGGAGAGAAUCCUAAGGUGUGCGAGAGAACUCUGGUUAAGGAACUCGGCAAAAUGACCCCGUAACUUCGGGAGAAGGGGUGCUUUCUUAACGGAAAGCCGCAGUGAAUAGGCCCAAGCGACUGUUUAGCAAAAACACAGCUCUCUGCGAAGCCGUAAGGCGAAGUAUAGGGGGUGACACCUGCCCGGUGCUGGAAGGUUAAGGAGAGGGGUUAGCGUAAGCGAAGCUCUGAACUGAAGCCCCAGUAAACGGCGGCCGUAACUAUAACGGUCCUAAGGUAGCGAAAUUCCUUGUCGGGUAAGUUCCGACCCGCACGAAAGGUGUAACGAUUUGGGCACUGUCUCAACCAGAGACUCGGUGAAAUUAUAGUACCUGUGAAGAUGCAGGUUACCCGCGACAGGACGGAAAGACCCCGUGGAGCUUUACUGUAGCCUGAUAUUGAAUUUUGGUACAGUUUGUACAGGAUAGGCGGGAGCCUUUGAAACCGGAGCGCUAGCUUCGGUGGAGGCGCUGGUGGGAUACCGCCCUGACUGUAUUGAAAUUCUAACCUACGGGUCUUAUCGACCCGGGAGACAGUGUCAGGUGGGCAGUUUGACUGGGGCGGUCGCCUCCUAAAGUGUAACGGAGGCGCCCAAAGGUUCCCUCAGAAUGGUUGGAAAUCAUUCGUAGAGUGCAAAGGCAUAAGGGAGCUUGACUGCGAGACCUACAAGUCGAGCAGGGACGAAAGUCGGGCUUAGUGAUCCGGUGGUUCCGCAUGGAAGGGCCAUCGCUCAACGGAUAAAAGCUACCCCGGGGAUAACAGGCUUAUCUCCCCCAAGAGUCCACAUCGACGGGGAGGUUUGGCACCUCGAUGUCGGCUCAUCGCAUCCUGGGGCUGUAGUCGGUCCCAAGGGUUGGGCUGUUCGCCCAUUAAAGCGGUACGCGAGCUGGGUUCAGAACGUCGUGAGACAGUUCGGUCCCUAUCCGUCGUGGGCGUAGGAAAUUUGAGAGGAGCUGUCCUUAGUACGAGAGGACCGGGAUGGACGCACCGCUGGUGUACCAGUUGUUCUGCCAAGGGCAUAGCUGGGUAGCUAUGUGCGGAAGGGAUAAGUGCUGAAAGCAUCUAAGCAUGAAGCCCCCCUCAAGAUGAGAUUUCCCAUAGCGUAAGCUAGUAAGAUCCCUGAAAGAUGAUCAGGUUGAUAGGUUCGAGGUGGAAGCAUGGUGACAUGUGGAGCUGACGAAUACUAAUAGAUCGAGGACUUAACCAU
RNAcentral lists this ribosomal RNA (1360 nucleotides) under Bacillus cereus. RNAcentral describes it as "bacterial LSU rRNA". It matches the Rfam family "Bacterial large subunit ribosomal RNA", at positions 1555 to 2925 of the family's 2925-position model. The record is from RNAcentral. Lineage: Bacteria; Bacillati; Bacillota; Bacilli; Caryophanales; Bacillaceae. RNAcentral also lists the same sequence under 2 other names.